UAGGGAAUCUUCGGCAAUGGGGGGAACCCUGACCGAGCAACGCCGCGUGAGUGAAGAAGGUUUUCGGAUCGUAAAGCUCUGUUGUUAAGGAAGAACGAGUGUGAGAAUGGAAAGUUCAUACUGUGACGGUACUUAACCAGAAAGGGACGGCUAACUACGUGCCAGCAGCCGCGGUAAUACGUAGGUCCCGAGCGUUGUCCGGAUUUAUUGGGCGUAAAGCGAGCGCAGGCGGUUAGAUAAGUCUGAAGUUAAAGGCAGUGGCUCAACCAUUGUAGGCUUUGGAAACUGUUUAACUUGAGUGCAGAAGGGGAGAGUGGAAUUCCGUGUGUAGCGGUGAAUUGCGUAGAUAUAUGGAGGAACACCGGUGGCGAAAGCGGCUCUCUGGUCUGUAACUGCCGCUGAGGCUCGAAAGCGUGGGGAGCGAACAGG
This 429-nucleotide ribosomal RNA is filed under the name Bacteroidota bacterium. Its description in RNAcentral is "Bacteroidetes bacterium partial 16S ribosomal RNA". It matches the Rfam family "Bacterial small subunit ribosomal RNA", at positions 355 to 776 of the family's 1533-position model. The record is from RNAcentral. Lineage: Bacteria; Pseudomonadati; Bacteroidota.